AGGUAUAUGGGCAUCUCUCUCUCUCUCUCUCUCUCUCUCUCUCUCUGUGUGUGUGUGUGUGUGUGUGUGUGAGAGAGAGAGAGAGAGAGAGAGAGAGAGAGUUAAGUGGGGCUU
Non-coding RNA from Podarcis lilfordi (Lilford's wall lizard), 114 nucleotides. NCBI's taxonomy places the organism in Eukaryota, Metazoa, Chordata, Lepidosauria, Squamata, Lacertidae. The record is from the annotation of a GenBank genome assembly.